GCUGUGGUUGGCUCAGUGGUAGAGCGCUUGUUUGGUGUACGUGAAGACCUGGGUUCCAUCCCCAGCAUUGCU
This 72-nucleotide transfer RNA is filed under the name Heterocephalus glaber (naked mole-rat). It matches the Rfam family "tRNA". From Rfam's summary of the family: Transfer RNA (tRNA) molecules are approximately 80 nucleotides in length. Their secondary structure includes four short double-helical elements and three loops (D, anti-codon, and T loops). Further hydrogen bonds mediate the characteristic L-shaped molecular structure. tRNAs have two regions of fundamental functional importance: the anti-codon, which is responsible for specific mRNA codon recognition, and the 3' end, to which the tRNAs corresponding amino acid is attached (by aminoacyl-tRNA synthetases). tRNAs cope with the degeneracy of the genetic code in two manners: having more than one tRNA (with a specific anti-codon) for a particular amino acid; and 'wobble' base-pairing, i.e. permitting non-standard base-pairing at the 3rd anti-codon position. Lineage: Eukaryota; Metazoa; Chordata; Mammalia; Rodentia; Bathyergidae. The record is from Rfam by way of RNAcentral.